Molecule: ribosomal RNA, 253 nt
Filed under: uncultured bacterium
Lineage: Bacteria
Description: partial 16S ribosomal RNA
Rfam family: Bacterial small subunit ribosomal RNA
Source: RNAcentral
UACGGAGGGUGCAAGCGUUAUCCGGAUUCACUGGGUUUAAAGGGUGCGUAGGCGGGCAGGUAAGUCCGUGGUGAAAUCUCUGAGCUUAACUCAGAAACUGCCAUGGAUACUAUUUGUCUUGAAUAUUGUGGAGGUAAGCGGAAUAUGUCAUGUAGCGGUGAAAUGCUUAGAUAUGACAUAGAACACCAAUUGCGAAGGCAGCUUACUACACAGUUAUUGACGCUGAGGCACGAAAGCAUGGGGAUCAAACAGG